UCAGAUAAAUAAAUUUAUUAUAUCAUUAAUCUCCAAAAUUAAUAUUUUUACUUAAACUAUUAUCUG
This 66-nucleotide transfer RNA is filed under the name Achelia bituberculata. RNAcentral describes it as "tRNA-Pro". Lineage: Eukaryota; Metazoa; Arthropoda; Pycnogonida; Pantopoda; Ammotheidae. The record is from RNAcentral.